Non-coding RNA from Cricetulus griseus (Chinese hamster), 395 nucleotides. Lineage: Eukaryota; Metazoa; Chordata; Mammalia; Rodentia; Cricetidae. The record is from the annotation of a RefSeq genome assembly.
GUGCCUGUGCAGAUAUUGUGAUGAUCCAGUCUCCAUCCUCCUUGGCCGUGUCAUCAGGAGAGAAGGUCACCAUCAGCUGUAUAUCCAGUCAGAGUCUUUUCCACAGUGCAACUCAGAAGAAUUACUUGGCUUGGUACCAGCAGAAAGCAGGCCAGUCUCCUAAACUGCUGAUCUACUUAGCAUCCACUCGAGAAACUGGGGUCCCUGAUCGCUUCAUAGGUAGUGGGUCUGGGACAGAUUUCACUCUCACCAUCAGCAGUGCUCAAGCUGAAGACAUGGGAGAUUAUUACUGUCAGCAACAUCAUAGUUAUCCUCUCACAGUGCUUUACCCUCUAACGCAAACCUCCUCUGUGAGUCUCACCAGGUGCCUGUAGCACACACAGCCCUGGACCUGC